GUGCCAGCAGCCGCGGUAAGACUUAGGGAGCGAGCGUUAUCCGGAUUCAUUGGGCGUAAAGCGCACGCAGGCGGCCAAGUAAGUCGGGUGUGAAAUCCCGGGGCUCAACCCCGGGCGUGCAUCCGAAACUGCUUGGCUAGAGGUAGGCAGGGGAGAUCGGAAUUCCUGGUGUAGCGGUGAAAUGCGCAGAUAUCAGGAGGAACACCGGUGGCGAAGGCGGAUCUCUGGGCCUUACCUGACGCUCAGGUGCGAAAGCUAGGGGAGCGAACAGGAUUAGAAACCCCCGUAGUCC
Molecule: ribosomal RNA, 292 nt
Filed under: uncultured bacterium
Lineage: Bacteria
Description: partial 16S ribosomal RNA
Rfam family: Bacterial small subunit ribosomal RNA
Source: RNAcentral